Molecule: ribosomal RNA, 427 nt
Filed under: uncultured bacterium
Lineage: Bacteria
Description: partial 16S ribosomal RNA
Rfam family: Bacterial small subunit ribosomal RNA
Source: RNAcentral
UGGGGAAUAUUGCACAAUGGGCGCAAGCCUGAUGCAGCCAUGCCGCGUGUAUGAAGAAGGCCUUCGGGUUGUAAAGUACUUUCAGCGGGGAGGAAGGUGUUGUGGUUAAUAACCACAGCAAUUGACGUUACCCGCAGAAGAAGCACCGGCUAACUCCGUGCCAGCAGCCGCGGUAAUACGGAGGGUGCAAGCGUUAAUCGGAAUUACUGGGCGUAAAGCGCACGCAGGCGGUCUUUCAAGUCGGAUGUGAAAUCCCCGGGCUCAACCUGGGAACUGCAUCCGAAACUGGCAGGCUUGAGUCUUGUAGAGGGGGGUAGAAUUCCAGGUGUAGCGGUGAAAUGCGUAGAGAUCUGGAGGAAUACCGGUGGCGAAGGCGGCCCCCUGGACAAAGACUGACGCUCAGGUGCGAAAGCGUGGGGAGCAAACA